UUCGGAUGAAUUCAUUUGUGACUGAGCGGCGGACGGGUGAGUAACGCGUGGGUAACCUGCCUCAUACAGGGGGAUAACAGUUGGAAACGACUGCUAAUACCGCAUAAGCGCACAGCUUCGCAUGAAGCAGUGUGAAAAACUCCGGUGGUACAGGAUGGACCCGCGUCUGAUUAGAUAGUUGGUGAGGUAACGGCCCACCAAGUCAACGAUCGGUAGCCGGACUGAGAGGUUGAACGGCCACAUUGGGACUGAGACACGGCCCAGACUCC
RNAcentral lists this ribosomal RNA (269 nucleotides) under uncultured Eubacteriales bacterium. Its description in RNAcentral is "uncultured Clostridiales bacterium partial 16S ribosomal RNA". It matches the Rfam family "Bacterial small subunit ribosomal RNA", at positions 71 to 339 of the family's 1533-position model. The record is from RNAcentral. Lineage: Bacteria; Bacillati; Bacillota; Clostridia; Eubacteriales.